This 253-nucleotide ribosomal RNA is filed under the name uncultured bacterium. RNAcentral's name for it is "partial 16S ribosomal RNA". It matches the Rfam family "Bacterial small subunit ribosomal RNA", at positions 524 to 776 of the family's 1533-position model. The record is from RNAcentral.
UACGUAGGGAGCAAGCGUUGUCCGGAAUCAUUGGGCGUAAAGCGCGCGUAGGCGGCCCCGUAAGUCCGCUGUGAAAGUCAAAGGCUCAACCUUUGAAAGCCGGUGGAAACUGUGGGGCUAGAGUCCGGAAGAGGCGAGUGGAAUUCCUGGUGUAGCGGUGGAAUGCGCAGAUAUCAGGAGGAACACCGGUGGCGAAGGCGGGUCUCUGGGCCGAUACUGACGCUGAGGAGCGAAAGCGUGGGGAGCGAACAGG